UGGGGAAUCUUGGUCAAUGGGCGCAAGCCUGAACCAGCGACGCCGCGUGAGUGAUGAAGGCCUUCGGGUUGUAAAGCUCUGUGGGGAGGGACGAAAGAGAUUCAUCUAAUAGGUGAAUCAGUUGACGGUACCUCCUUAGCAAGCACCGGCUAACUCUGUGCCAGCAGCCGCGGUAAGACAGAGGGUGCAAACGUUGCUCGGAAUUACUGGGCGUAAAGCGCGUGUAGGCGGAUUUGCAAGUCGGAUGUGAAAUCCCUGGGCUCAACCCAGGAACUGCACUCGAAACUGUGAGUCUUGAGUAUCGGAGAGGAAAGCGGAAUUCCUGGUGUAGAGGUGAAAUUCGUAGAUAUCAGGAGGAACACCGGUGGCGAAGGCGGCUUUCUGGACGAUAACUGACGCUGAGACGCGAAAGCGUGGGGAGCAAACAGG
This 429-nucleotide ribosomal RNA is filed under the name uncultured Myxococcales bacterium. Its description in RNAcentral is "bacterial SSU rRNA". It matches the Rfam family "Bacterial small subunit ribosomal RNA", at positions 355 to 776 of the family's 1533-position model. The record is from RNAcentral. Lineage: Bacteria; Pseudomonadati; Myxococcota; Myxococcia; Myxococcales.